Molecule: long non-coding RNA, 1694 nt
Organism: Dermacentor silvarum
Lineage: Eukaryota; Metazoa; Arthropoda; Arachnida; Ixodida; Ixodidae
Exons: 5
Source: RefSeq, a predicted model, not a curated record
AUCCACAAAAGUGAAUUAGGAGGUGAUAUUUUGAAAUCGAAACUGAAACCUGUUCAGGCACCGCGGCCGUAGCGUCGCCACUAUCGCUGUUUACAGACAUGGCGUCGUGUUAUGCUGCGUGCGUAUCUCUGUGGUGAUGCAGUCGUCGUUCAGUGACUUUUUGUUUUACUAUCUCGUGAUGUCGCUUUUAUAUUGCGCUCAUUAACGAAGUAGGAACUUCUGGGCCGGAUAUGAUGCGUCAUACGGGAGGAACUAAUUCAACAGCAACCUACUGCAACACAACCUCAGUGAUCCCUUUGUUUGAUUUGCGGACGGACGUGAUUCGUAGUGUUGGAGGAUACCGUCUUCAAAUGCUUCCGCACAACAGUGAAAAGCAGUGCCGAAGUUCCUUCUCGACAACGUGCUCUGUGGCGAGGAGAAAUGCUUUGAAGUCCGGGCACAUCGGGAAGUCGGCACAUUGCCCCAAGAUCAACGGACGCCCGGCAAUCGGCAGCGCGGCACAUCGCCACAAGACGGACGGACGCGUGUUUUUCGUGCCAAAGAAAACCUGUUUUUUUUUCAGCCUCUUCCUCUGCAGAUGACGUUGGUGAUUAAUAUCUGUGAGCAGCACUGACCUAUGCCUGAGUGAAGAGACAUAUAAGUAGGUGCAGAUUGGUGUAGGCUUUGUGCUGCCUUAUAACAGUGGCAGUAUAUUUAAAGUGUACAUCAGAUGCCAAGUGUGCAAUAGAUGUGGGCCUGUGGACACCAGCAGAAGCUGGGGAAAGACGCCUGACUGGGCAGGCCUGCCGCACAGUUUGGAUUCAACCAGAAAGCUUGCGGCAACACCGGAGAAAGUGGCUGCUGUGAAGAGCGCAGAUUGGUGUGGGAUUUGUGAUGCCACUCAACAAGUGGCAUUACAUACUAAAGUGUACCACCGAAGCCAAGUGCGCAUUAGGUCUGGCACAGCACCUGUGGACACCAACGCAAGCUGGGGAAAGCCCGACUGGGCCGGCCAGCCGGACUAUCUCUGAUGCAUCUGGGAAGCUUCUGGCAACACCAGAGAAAGUGGCUGCUGUGAAGAACUGCCUGGAGAAGUACAUCGGGGAACAUCCGAUGGGGCCACCAGCACCACCUCCAGAGCACCACCUUGCUUCUGUAACGAAGCACCUUUGGAGCUUCUUCACAGAAGCGGGCGCGAGGGCAAGCGAGUAUGGAAGACGUGAAUCGCCUUAACCUAUUGCAUUUUUUCAAUAAAGUGUGAAGAUAUAGAACAUAUUAUGGUGCUAUACAUUGAUUCCUUAUGGCAUGAAAAUGUAGCGGCAUACUUGGCCACAUGUAGAUACAGACUGCACACUUUCCAAGACUCAAGAACGCAUGAAGAUAGCCCAUCAUGAGCUUCCUAAGUGCAAUGGCUGCUCCUUCGAUUCAUUACACAACUUGCAUUUGACCUGAUGUGCCCACUGUUAUACCCAGCAUUCCACCCAUCGCCCAGCAUUCCACCCAUCGCCCAGCAUUCCACCCAUCGCCCGGCAUUCCACCCAUCACCCGGCAUUCUACCCAUCACCCAGCAUUCCACCCAUCACCCAGCAUUCCACCCAUCACCCAGCAUUCCACCCAUCACCCAGCAUGCCCACUGCCCAGCAUGCCCAUUACCAUAAUCCACCGUGAUGAUGGAUGAUGGAUUCCAUCAUGCCCAGCAUCGGGCAAAUUUUCAA